Molecule: ribosomal RNA, 254 nt
Filed under: uncultured bacterium
Lineage: Bacteria
Description: partial 16S ribosomal RNA
Rfam family: Bacterial small subunit ribosomal RNA
Source: RNAcentral
UACAGGGGGUGCAAACGUUGCUCGGAAUUAUUGGGCGUAAAGCGCGCGUAGGCGGCUACUUAAGUCGGAUGUGAAAGCCCUUGGCUCAACUGAGGAAGUGCACCCGAAACUGAGUGGCUUGAGUACGAAAGAGGGUCGCGGAAUUCCCGGUGUAGAGGUGAAAUUCGUAGAUAGUCGGGAGGAACACCGGUGGCGAAGGCGGCUCUCUGGGACGGUACUGACGCUGAGACGCGAAAGCGUGGGGAGCGAACAGG